Molecule: ribosomal RNA, 1463 nt
Filed under: uncultured Klebsiella sp.
Lineage: Bacteria; Pseudomonadati; Pseudomonadota; Gammaproteobacteria; Enterobacterales; Enterobacteriaceae
Description: bacterial SSU rRNA
Rfam family: Bacterial small subunit ribosomal RNA
Source: RNAcentral
AUUGAACGCUGGCGGCAGGCCUAACACAUGCAAGUCGAGCGGUAGCACAGAGAGCUUGCUCUCGGGUGACGAGCGGCGGACGGGUGAGUAAUGUCUGGGAAACUGCCUGAUGGAGGGGGAUAACUACUGGAAACGGUAGCUAAUACCGCAUAAUGUCGCAAGACCAAAGUGGGGGACCUUCGGGCCUCAUGCCAUCAGAUGUGCCCAGAUGGGAUUAGCUAGUAGGUGGGGUAACGGCUCACCUAGGCGACGAUCCCUAGCUGGUCUGAGAGGAUGACCAGCCACACUGGAACUGAGACACGGUCCAGACUCCUACGGGAGGCAGCAGUGGGGAAUAUUGCACAAUGGGCGCAAGCCUGAUGCAGCCAUGCCGCGUGUGUGAAGAAGGCCUUCGGGUUGUAAAGCACUUUCAGCGGGGAGGAAGGCGGUGAGGUUAAUAACCUCAUCGAUUGACGUUACCCGCAGAAGAAGCACCGGCUAACUCCGUGCCAGCAGCCGCGGUAAUACGGAGGGUGCAAGCGUUAAUCGGAAUUACCGGGCGUAAAGCGCACGCAGGCGGUCUGUCAAGUCGGAUGUGAAAUCCCCGGGCUCAACCUGGGAACUGCAUUCGAAACUGGCAGGCUAGAGUCUUGUAGAGGGGGGUAGAAUUCCAGGUGUAGCGGUGAAAUGCGUAGAGAUCUGGAGGAAUACCGGUGGCGAAGGCGGCCCCCUGGACAAAGACUGACGCUCAGGUGCGAAAGCGUGGGGAGCAAACAGGAUUAGAUACCCUGGUAGUCCACGCCGUAAACGAUGUCGAUUUGGAGGUUGUGCCCUUGAGGCGUGGCUUCCGGAGCUAACGCGUUAAAUCGACCGCCUGGGGAGUACGGCCGCAAGGUUAAAACUCAAAUGAAUUGACGGGGGCCCGCACAAGCGGUGGAGCAUGUGGUUUAAUUCGAUGCAACGCGAAGAACCUUACCUGGUCUUGACAUCCACAGAACUUUCCAGAGAUGGAUUGGUGCCUUCGGGAACUGUGAGACAGGUGCUGCAUGGCUGUCGUCAGCUCGUGUUGUGAAAUGUUGGGUUAAGUCCCGCAACGAGCGCAACCCUUAUCCUUUGUUGCCAGCGGUUCGGCCGGGAACUCAAAGGAGACUGCCAGUGAUAAACUGGAGGAAGGUGGGGAUGACGUCAAGUCAUCAUGGCCCUUACGACCAGGGCUACACACGUGCUACAAUGGCAUAUACAAAGAGAAGCGACCUCGCGAGAGCAAGCGGACCUCAUAAAGUAUGUCGUAGUCCGGAUUGGAGUCUGCAACUCGACUCCAUGAAGUCGGAAUCGCUAGUAAUCGUAGAUCAGAAUGCUACGGUGAAUACGUUCCCGGGCCUUGUACACACCGCCCGUCACACCAUGGGAGUGGGUUGCAAAAGAAGUAGGUAGCUUAACCUUCGGGAGGGCGCUUACCACUUUGUGAUUCAUGACUGGGGUGA